GGAAGAAGGAACGGGCAACGGUAGGUCAAUAUGCCCCGAAUGAGCUGGGCAACCCGCGGGCUACAAUGGCCGGGACAAUGGGAAGCCACCCCGAAAGGGGGCGCUAAUCUCCUAAACCUGGUCGUAAUUCGGAUUGAGGGCUGAAACUCCCCCUCAUGAAGCUGGAUUCCGUAGUAAUCGCGUUUCAAAAGAGCGCGGCGAAUACCUUCCUGCUCCUUGCACAAACUCCCUGCUCC
This 236-nucleotide ribosomal RNA is filed under the name uncultured haloarchaeon. RNAcentral describes it as "partial 16S ribosomal RNA". It matches the Rfam family "Archaeal small subunit ribosomal RNA", at positions 1121 to 1356 of the family's 1478-position model. Lineage: Archaea; Methanobacteriati; Methanobacteriota; Halobacteria; Halobacteriales; Halobacteriaceae. The record is from RNAcentral.